AGGGAAUAGAUACCCGGGUAGUCCACGCCGUAAACUAUGAACACUAGGUGUGGGGGGUAUCGACCCCCUCCGUGCCGAAAGCUAAACGCAGUAAAGUGUUCCGCCUGGGGAGUACGGCCGCAAGGCUAAAACUCAAAGGAAUUGACGGGGGCCCGCACAAGCAGCGGAGCGUGCGGUUUAAUUCGUCGCAAACGCGAAGAACCUUACCAAGGCCUGACAUGCUAGUGGUACUGAUCCGAAAGGUGAGGGACCCUUCGGGGAGCUAGCACAGGUGCUGCAUGGCUGUUGUCAGCUCGUGCCGUGAGGUGUUGGGUUAAGUCCCGCAACGAGCGCGACCCCUGUUGCCAGUUGUAUUCUCUGGCGAGACUGCCCCGUAAAGCGGGGAGGAAGGCGGGGAUGACUUCAAGUCAGCACGGCCCUUACGUCUUGGGCUACUCGCACGCUACAAUGGCCGGUCCAAUAGGUUGCCAAGGAGCGAUCCGGAGCUAAUCCCUAAAGCCGGCCUCAGUUCAGAUUGCAGGCUGAAACCCGCCUGCAUGAAGGCGGAGUUGCUA
RNAcentral lists this ribosomal RNA (554 nucleotides) under uncultured bacterium. RNAcentral describes it as "bacterial SSU rRNA". It matches the Rfam family "Bacterial small subunit ribosomal RNA", at positions 773 to 1337 of the family's 1533-position model. The record is from RNAcentral.